CACAUGACGCUGGCGGCAUGCCUACCGUGCAAGUCGAACGGUAACAGGUUCAGCUGACGAGUGGCGAACGGGUGAUAUGUAUCGGAACGUGCCCAGUCGUGGGGGAUAACUGCUCGAAAGAGCAGCUAAUACCGCAUACGACCUGAGGGUGAAAGCGGGGGAUCGCAAGACCUCGCGCGAUUGGAGCGGCCGAUAUCAGAUUAGGUAGUUGGUGAGGUAAAGGCUCACCAAGCCGACGAUCUGUAGCUGGUCUGAGAGGACGAACAGACACACUGGGACUGAGACACGGCCCAGACUCCUACGGGAGGCAGCAGUGGGGAAUUUUGGACAAUGGGCGCAAGCCUGAUCCAGCCAUGCCGCGUGCGGGAAGAAGGACUUCGGGUUGUAAACCGCUUUUGUCAAGGGAAGAAAAGGUUCUGGCUAAUACCUGGGACUCAUGACGGUACCUGAAGAAUAAGCACAGGAUUAAUAACUGCCAACAGACGCGGUAAUACAGUAAGGUGCAGGACUUAAUCGGAAUAACUGGGCGUAAAGAGUGCACAAGGGGUAUGCAAGAAAGAGGUGAAAUCCCCGAGGCUCAACUGAGAACUGCCUUAGGGACGUGGAUUGCUAGAGUCGGGGAGAAGGGGAUUGAAUACCGAGUGUAGCAAGAAAAUGCGUAAGAAUAUGCAGAAGAAGCACAGACGGG
Molecule: ribosomal RNA, 688 nt
Filed under: uncultured bacterium
Lineage: Bacteria
Description: bacterial SSU rRNA
Rfam family: Bacterial small subunit ribosomal RNA
Source: RNAcentral